RNAcentral lists this ribosomal RNA (447 nucleotides) under Peribacillus simplex. RNAcentral's name for it is "bacterial SSU rRNA". It matches the Rfam family "Bacterial small subunit ribosomal RNA", at positions 78 to 513 of the family's 1533-position model. Lineage: Bacteria; Bacillati; Bacillota; Bacilli; Caryophanales; Bacillaceae. The record is from RNAcentral.
GGACUUGCUCCUGANUUACGGCGGANGGGUGAGUACACGUGGGCACCUGCCUAUAAGACUGGGAUAACUUCGGGAAACCGGAGCUAAUACCGGAUACGUUCUUUUCUCGCAUGAGAGAAGAUGGAAAGACGGUUUACGCUGUCACUUAUAGAUGGGCCCGCGGCGCAUUAGCUAGUUGGUGAGGUAAUGGCUCACCAAGGCGACGAUGCGUAGCCGACCUGAGAGGGUGAUCGGCCACACUGGGACUGAGACACGGCCCAGACUCCUACGGGAGGCAGCAGUAGGGAAUCUUCCGCAAUGGACGAAAGUCUGACGGAGCAACGCCGCGUGAACGAAGAAGGCCUUCGGGUCGUAAAGUUCUGUUGUUAGGGAAGAACAAGUACCAGAGUAACUGCUGGUACCUUGACGGUACCUAACCAGAAAGCCACGGCUAACUACGUGCCAGCA